This 254-nucleotide ribosomal RNA is filed under the name uncultured bacterium. Its description in RNAcentral is "partial 16S ribosomal RNA". It matches the Rfam family "Bacterial small subunit ribosomal RNA", at positions 524 to 776 of the family's 1533-position model. The record is from RNAcentral.
CACGUAGGGUGCAAGCGUUGUCCGGAAUCAUUGGGCGUAAAGAGCUCGUAGGCGGCUUAGUAAGUCGGGUGUGAAAACCCCAGGCUCAACCUGGGGACGCCACCCGAUACUGCUAUAGCUAGAGUCCAGUAGGGGAGUGUGGAAUUCCCAGUGUAGCGGUGAAAUGCGCAGAUAUUGGGAGCAACACCAGCGGCGAAGGCGGCACUCUGGGCUGGUACUGACGCUGAGGAGCGAAAGCGUGGGUAGCGAACAGG